UGAGUUUCAGAGAGUAAUGCUUAACCCC
RNAcentral lists this non-coding RNA (28 nucleotides) under Homo sapiens (human). The record is from RNAcentral. Lineage: Eukaryota; Metazoa; Chordata; Mammalia; Primates; Hominidae.